CCACCACCACAUCUACCACCAUCACCAUCACCACUACCUCUACCACCACCACCACCUCUACUACCACCUCCACCACCAUCACCACCAACACCACCAUCCCACCAUUACCACCACCAUCAUCACCACCACCAUCACCAUCACCACCACCAUCACCAUCAUCAACACCACUACCACCACCACCACCAUCACCUCCCUUUCUGAGCUGUGCCCUGCUGAACUUCCAAAUUUCUUGAGAAUAUCGUCCCCUGGGGAACCCUAUGGCUAUUUUUACUUCUUCCAUGUGUGCCUUCCUCCCCACAACCACCAGUGUUCCACUCAAAGGGGCAUAAACAUCUAUAAGGCAUUCUGUAUGUAUGUGUUUAUAUAGUCUUUUUUUUUUUUUGACAGAGUCUUGUUCUGUCAUUCAGUCUGGAGUG
RNAcentral lists this long non-coding RNA (416 nucleotides) under Homo sapiens (human). Its description in RNAcentral is "HSALNT0319243". The record is from RNAcentral. Lineage: Eukaryota; Metazoa; Chordata; Mammalia; Primates; Hominidae.